Molecule: small RNA, 413 nt
Filed under: Curtobacterium sp. ER1/6
Lineage: Bacteria; Bacillati; Actinomycetota; Actinomycetes; Micrococcales; Microbacteriaceae
Description: cspA thermoregulator
Source: RNAcentral
GACCGCCCGUGUGUCGGGCGUGUUUCCGACACGUUGAUUUCUGACGGCAUCGUCGUGAAACAACGUCACACCUCUUGCCCUCCCGCGUGCGUUCCAGCAGAGUCGUCGCCAGACGGCGACUGCGUCGUUCGCACCAGCAGCACCAGGGAGCAAGAGAUCAUGGCCAACGGAACCGUGAAGUGGUUCAACGCCGAGAAGGGCUUCGGCUUCAUCACCGUCGAUGGAGGGGGCCAGGACGUGUUCGUGCACUACUCGGCGAUCGACAUGUCGGGCUACAAGGUCCUCGAGGAGGGGCAGGCGGUCACGUUCGACGUCGGCACCGGCUCGAAGGGGCCGCAGGCCGAGUCCGUCCGACCCGCCUGACGUCCCGGAACCACUGCGAGCGCGCCGUCCCCUCGGGGGCGGCGCGUUCG